GAUGAAGAACGCAGCGAAAUGCGAUAAGUAGUGUGAAUUGCAGAAGUACCGUGAAUCAUCGAAUCUUUGAACGCAAAUUGCACUCUCUGGUAUUCCGGGGAGUAUGCCUGUUUGAGGGUCGCUUAACAAACCAUCGAUUUCGUUGCUUUUUUUUUUAAAGUGAUGUUUAUCGGAUUUGAGCCGUCUUUUUUUUUAUAUUUAAGUGGCUUAAAAUUGAUUUUUUUGGUACGAUCGAAGCGUAUUUUUAUGAUCAAUUUUUGGUUAAAGAAACGCACACGUACCGUUAUUUAUAUGAUGUAAUACGUUUGACUAUUGGAUUUAGUUCAUUCGUAUACGAUAUCUUUCAAUAUUUGACCUCAAAUCAGGUAAGAACACCCGCUGAACUUAAGCAUAUCAAUAAGCGGAGG
This 407-nucleotide unclassified non-coding RNA is filed under the name soil metagenome. Its description in RNAcentral is "partial contains 5.8S ribosomal RNA, internal transcribed spacer 2, and large subunit ribosomal RNA". The stretch from base 1 to 121 matches the Rfam family "5.8S ribosomal RNA", at positions 35 to 154 of the family's 154-position model. The record is from RNAcentral.